Molecule: ribosomal RNA, 1423 nt
Filed under: metagenome
Description: bacterial LSU rRNA
Rfam family: Bacterial large subunit ribosomal RNA
Source: RNAcentral
AAAGCAUAAGCCGGGAAUGGAAAGACCGGUACAAGCGAGGUAGGUGUGUGACAGGCAAAUCCGUCACAUAAGCCGAAGACGUGAUGUGGAGCGAAAUUAAGUAGUGAAGUAUGUGAGCCAUGUGCCGAGAAAAGCCGCUAUUGUUUUAUAUGUGCCCGUACCGUAAACCGACACAGGUGGAUGAGGAGAGAAUCCUAAGGCCGACGGAAGAAGCAUUGUUAAGGAAUUCGGCAAAAUGACCCCGUAACUUCGGGAGAAGGGGUGCCCACUGAAUGGUGGGCUGCAGAGAAUAGGCUCAAGCAACUGUUUAGCAAAAACACAGGUCUAUGCGAAACCGAAAGGUGAAGUAUAUGGGCUGACGCCUGCCCGGUGCUGGAAGGUUAAGAGGAGAGGUUAGCGUAAGCGAAGCUUUGAAUUUAAGCCCCAGUAAACGGCGGCCGUAACGAUAACGGUCCUAAGGUAGCGAAAUUCCUUGUCGGGUAAGUUCCGACCCGCACGAAAGGCGUAAUGAUUUGAGCACUGUCUCGACAAUGCAUCCGGUGAAAUUGAAGUACCAGUGAAGAUGCUGGUUACCCGCGCCAGGACGGAAAGACCCCAUGGAGCUUUACUCCAGUUUGAUACUGGGAUUCGGUACUGCACGUACAGGAUAGGUGGGAGACUGAGAACUAUGGACGCCAGUCUGUAGGGAGUCGCUGUUGGGAUACCACCCCUGUAGUACUGGGUUUCUAACCAUCUGCCGUGAUCCGGCAGUGGGACAAUGUCAGGCGGGGAGUUUGACUGGGGCGGUCGCCUCCGAAAGGGUAUCGGAGGCGCUCAAAGGUUCCCUCAGAAUGGUCGGAAACCAUUUGAAGAGUGCAAAGGCAGAAGGGAGCUUGACUGCGACACCGACGGGUGGAGCAGGUACGAAAGUAGGACUUAGUGAUCCGGUGGUAUAAAGUGGGAUUGCCAUCGCUCAACGGAUAAAAGCUACCCUGGGAUAACAGGCUUAUCACUCCCAAGAGUUCACAUCGACGGAGUGGUUUGGCACCUCGAUGUCGGCUCAUCGCAUCCUGGGGCUGUAGCAGGUCCCAAGGGUUGGGCUGUUCGCCCAUUAAAGCGGUACGCGAGCUGGGUUCAGAACGUCGUGAGACAGUUCGGUCCCUAUCCGGCGCGGGCGGAGGAUAUUUGAGAGGAGCUGUCCUUAGUACGAGAGGACCGGGAUGGACGGACCACUGGUGUAUCUGUUGUCGACCAACGGCAUGGCAGAGUAGCCAAGUCUGGAAGGGAUAAACGCUGAAGGCAUCUAUGCGUGAAGCCCCCCUCAAGAUGAGAUAUCCCUCCUUCGGGAGUAAGACCCCUUGAAGACUACAAGGUAGAUAGGGCAGAGGUGGAAGUGUGGCAACACAUGGAGCUGACUGUUACUAAUAGGUCGAGGGCUUGUUAA